AUGACUAGACAACAAAUAUUGAAUGUCGACGCGUCCUACUCAAAAGACGACUUCACGGGAGCUUGUGGUGCUAUGCUUUGCAAUAACCGAGGAGGUUUCAUCAGGGCAGCUACGGCGAGACUUGACCAUGUUCCAGAUGCGGUUCUAGAAGCAGCAACACUGUUGUAG
RNAcentral lists this ribosomal RNA (168 nucleotides) under Triticum aestivum (bread wheat). RNAcentral describes it as "partial small subunit ribosomal RNA". The record is from RNAcentral. Lineage: Eukaryota; Viridiplantae; Streptophyta; Magnoliopsida; Poales; Poaceae.